This 253-nucleotide ribosomal RNA is filed under the name uncultured bacterium. Its description in RNAcentral is "partial 16S ribosomal RNA". It matches the Rfam family "Bacterial small subunit ribosomal RNA", at positions 524 to 776 of the family's 1533-position model. The record is from RNAcentral.
UACGUAGGGUGCAAGCGUUAAUCGGAAUUACUGGGCGUAAAGCGUGCGCAGGCGGUUGCGUAAGACAGAUGUGAAAUCCCCGGGCUCAACCUGGGAACUGCAUUUGUGACUGCACGGCUCGAGUGCGGCAGAGGGGGAUGGAAUUCCGCGUGUAGCAGUGAAAUGCGUAGAUAUGCGGAGGAACACCGAUGGCGAAGGCAAUCCCCUGGGCCUGCACUGACGCUCAUGCACGAAAGCGUGGGGAGCAAACAGG